Long non-coding RNA from Ooceraea biroi (clonal raider ant), 296 nucleotides. RefSeq lists it as uncharacterized. The record is from RefSeq and is a predicted model, not a curated record. NCBI's taxonomy places the organism in Eukaryota, Metazoa, Arthropoda, Insecta, Hymenoptera, Formicidae.
UCGGUACACCGUCCGAGGCUUUUUGGCUCGCGAGUGAGCGAGCUUUUUUCCACGCGGCUGCGUGUCCCUGCGUGUCUAUGUGUAUCACGAACUUCGUUUCACUGAUAACAGAUUUGCAGUCUGAGAAAGUUAUUUAACAAUGGAAAACACGAGAUUAGGGGAAAAAUUGCAUGGCUCACGCACCGUCGGAAACUGUGAGAUCGCGCCGUCAGGAUCUCCGCUGAAACAUGUACGAAUCAGGAUAAGCAUAAUGUAACACGAAUAAAAACUGUAAUAUAAAUCUGCGAGGAAUUUCA